This 3390-nucleotide long non-coding RNA is filed under the name Homo sapiens (human). RNAcentral's name for it is "HSALNT0376422". The record is from RNAcentral. Lineage: Eukaryota; Metazoa; Chordata; Mammalia; Primates; Hominidae.
ACAAUGAAAAUGGGUGUUUGACAUCUUCCCAGAAGCGGCACAAAAAGACAGCAAAAUCAGGCUGGUAAAAUGCUGAAUAAACAAAUGAAAGCGUUUGGUCUGAAUGUGAAUGACUCGAAGGGAGAAGGGGCCCGAGGAGACCUCCUCCGGGGAACGAUGGACAUCUCAGAAUUGAAGUUAAGGCUAUAGGUGGGAGGCGGGCGCCACCGUGCACAGGGGUGAGGGAGUUGUCUUAGCAAAAUCUGUCAUGCGGGCCUCUGGGGACUGUCAGGAGAGGAUCUGUGUCACCUGCCGAUUCUACCUCACUUCAGUCCAUGCCAGGUGGCGAGAGCGCAGGUGUGAGAAGAUAGGCCGGCCAAAGAAACCAGGAGGUUGCGGGGAGCCCGAGCCACAGGUGGGGGCCACUGUUAAGGCCAGGGAGGUUCCUCCUACCGCCAGCUUCCUGCGGCGACCCCCCAGUCCAGGUGGACCGGCCAACCACUAGCCACACAGGCUCGAGGCACGGGCCACGCCGUGUGCGGGGAACUGAACCACAGGCGGCUAACGCUAGCGCACAGCCCCAAGUCGACCAAUUGCCAGUGCGUGGGGCACUCACUACGGAGCCCAAGGCUCUGCCACAUUCAGCCACUGUCCUGGGCCCCUGGCCCUCGGUGGCAGCGUUUGUGAGGGUUCUCCAAACCAGCGAGCCCUCUCGAAAGAGUUUUGUUUAAAUAUGAAAGAGACUUAGUCCCAAGACAGUGGACACCGACGCUGCACAUGGAUGUAAUUCCCUCGUCUUCCAUUAAGCUCCAGAGGCCCUGUCGUUCUGCCUACUUCUGAAUUUUCACUUUUAUUCACUGUAAGUCUAAUCUAAAGUGUACCGUAUGCUUUUUUGCAGCCAAAGUUAUUAAUAUUUGCAGUUAGGGUUGUGGAGAAUGUGAAUCAAAAUAAUAAACAAGAAGAGAAAUAUUUUCGUGAAUUUGGGAGUUUGUACUGCUUGGGGUCGUGAACUCUGUUACUGCUACUUGACAAUCCAGAAGGCUCCUUGUGCACACAGGAUUCAGGCUGCUUCCCCAACAGUCCCCAGGGAUGUGUGUGGCUGCGGUCUACACCCAGAGAAGCUGACUGGUCCCAGAUCUCAGGUCAGUAAGUUGCAAGAACCCAGGAAAAAACUAUGAUCAGCCAUGCUUCUGCAAAGGAACAGAUCUCCAGAUUCCCACUUCUAUGGUUAGGAUGCACUCUAAAUUCAAAAUUACCUAACAGAAUGGAGGAUGUGAAAGGUAAAGAUGAACUAAAACACCACUCUUUAGAAUCGGAAUCUUGGGGGAAAUCCCACAACUAGACAUACUUGAACUUGUCCCUUUUUGUUGGUUGGUUUCAAAUGUUUAAAAUCUUCUUGAAGUUUGACUUGAUAGCAAUUUCAGCCUGGUCUGACCUCCAAUACCUGUUGGGUGACAUCGUGUGGCACCGCCUGGCAUUUUUACACAAGGAGAGCCUUCGGAAAUCUAAAGAUUUUAGAAGCAGCAGCUCCUUCUUAAGGCUGGUAGAUAAAUUAGUUGAGACUUUGCCGCAUCGUAGGGGAGCUUAUGACUCUGCCUUAGGCUUGCGGGAGGGAAUGAACAUGCCCGGCAACUUGACCAGGAAGGAAUCCUCCUCCCCCCUCACAGACAGGCAGUGAGUAUCGACCUCUGCGCCAAAUCUGCUCUACUUCCGUGCACCCAGGGAAAAUUUGCAGUCUGCAGGGCUGCUAGGCGGGUACAAGGAUGUUCGCAUACGAACAGGCAAGACCUCAUGUCCCGCGGGGGGUCUGGGGACUCUGCGAGAGCUUUAGCAGUUCUGCAGCACCAGCCUAGACUGGUUCAGAAACUGAUAUGGUUUAGAGCUCUGGUUAUAUGGAGGUAACAUACAACUCCCUCUUGUUCCUACCAACUCCUUCAGCUGCCACACAUCUUCCCAGUUCUCACAUAGGUUCAAUGCCAUCUCUCCCUUUCCACCUGCUGAACUUGGCUGUGACCAUGUGGCCUCAGCUGCUGCGGAUCCCCUGGGCGUGCCAGGGGUAGCAACUCAGUGGGCAGGGGGCCUGUCCGCAGCUCUGGCGGCUCCCCGCAGGCCCCACUCAUGCCGGCGGUUGCAGGUACUGGGUGCUCUUGGCAUUCUCAAGAGCGCAGGAAGAGUCAAUUUUAGGUGUUUUGGGCCACUAAGUAUCCGCGGCAAGCCGAAGACCCCGCUCUGGGAGCAAGAGAAGCCGAAGCUGCAGACAGGGUCAGCGGGAUCCCAGCAGAAGAGGGUGAUGCUGAAGCCUUCCCGGGGCGCGGACCGAGUGCUAGGGCGAGGUAGUCAGCGACCCGCUGAGACCGACCGAGAGACGACGGAUCUGAGGCAGAGAAAGAGGAUGAAGGAAGGAAAAGAGAGAACACUAAGGUCUGGUCAGUCCCGAUGAAUGUAAGGAUGCAGGACCUAGAACAAGAACAAGGGUCAGCUGGAGUCUGCCGCCUGGUUACACUGCUCACUCUGGACUCAGAAGAUCUCAAAGAGAUCGGAAGAAUUUCGACUAAAAGGAGAAAUUUAAGACCAAAACCAAAACACCAGUAAGGCCUGCAGCUGGCUCAGGCCAGGGAGAAGCCAAAAAGCCUUUCCCUAGCCGCGUCGAGGCCUCCUCCGAGGGGCGACUCGCUCUCUGGAUAAAUAUUUACUCAGUGGGAGACUGGAAGCCGGGCCGAGAGUGUGAAGGAGGGGGCUACACUGGGUGGGAGGAACCAGUACACUCGGCGCUGGCCGGAUCCUUGUGUACACCCGCCCAAGGGGAGCAGGGGCCGGGGACUCUGGGGGCGACUCGGCCCAGGCGUGUGGCUGGGGAAGCUUUAGACCCCAGCAUCGGAUCGACCGGACUCCGCCCUGCCCUCGCGGACCCCAGCCAGAUGCUGUGAAGUCUCCAUAAAUCUGUCAGCCGUCCCAGUGCCGCGGGCAGUCACCUGCGGCGCCCCCUUCCCGGCGCUAGAGCGGCCCGCGGAGAGACGCGGAGAAGCAACGGGAAUCUAGCCCGGCAGACUGUACCCGAGGGCUGCCGAAGUCAGACCCAAGCACUACAGGUUGUGCGGAACGCGAGGACCCCUCCCUGUAUCCCCAACCUGGACCGACCCCCGGAAGCCUGCUCCUCCGGGUCUACAGGGAUGAAGGUCAGAGUGUCAAAUUGCAGAUUUUGGAUCCUCAAUAAUGGGCCGCUGUAUUUAACCUCUUCAACUUCUUUUCUCCACUUAUAAGAAGGAACAAAAUAAAAUGUUUUGUGGAAGUUUAUAUUGAAAUGAGGUCAGGUAAACUAAUGACUGCUUGGUAUUUUAUGACAAGUUUUAUAACCUUGGAGUUGCCAUAACUUUCAAACGAUCAUCAAUAAAGUUUUAUUGCAAAAGGGUC